UACGUAGGGUGCGAGCGUUGUCCGGAAUCACUGGGUGUAAAGGGAGCGCAGGCGGGUCGGCAAGUCCUUGGUGAAAUCCGGAGGCUUAACCUCAGGACUGCCAAUGAUACUGCUGAUCUUGAGUGCAGAAGAGGAAGACGGAAUUCCUGGUGUAGCGGUGAAAUGCGUAGAUAUCAGGAAGAACACCGGUGGCGAAGGCGGUCUUCUGGUCUGUAACUGACGCUCAUGCUCGAAAGCGUGGGGAGCAAAC
Molecule: ribosomal RNA, 250 nt
Filed under: uncultured bacterium
Lineage: Bacteria
Description: partial 16S ribosomal RNA
Rfam family: Bacterial small subunit ribosomal RNA
Source: RNAcentral